Molecule: transfer RNA, 76 nt
Filed under: Clostridiales bacterium
Lineage: Bacteria; Bacillati; Bacillota; Clostridia; Eubacteriales
Description: tRNA-Asn
Rfam family: tRNA
About the family: Transfer RNA (tRNA) molecules are approximately 80 nucleotides in length.
Source: RNAcentral
UCCUCUAGAGCUCAGUCGGUAGAGCAUGCGGCUGUUAACCGCAGGGUCGUAAGUUCGAGUCUUACUGGAGGAGCCA